AUUUUCGGGCGACCGCUGGCGGCGUUCCUAACACAUGCAAGUCGAACGGGAGAAUUUGCAGGAAGUCUUCGGACAGAAAGCAGAGGAUCUAGUGGCGGACGGGUGAGUAACGCGUGAGCAACCUGUCCUUAAGAGGGGGAUAACAACGGGAAACCGUUGCUAAUACCGCAUAAGACCACGGUAUCGCAUGGUACUGAGGUAAAAGGAGAAAUCCGCUUAAGGGUGGGCUCGCGUCCCAUUAGUUAGUUGGUAGGGUAAAGGCCUACCAAGACCGCGAUGGGUAGCCGGACUGAGAGGUUGAACGGCCACAUUGGGACUGAGACACGGCCCAAACUCCUACGGGAGGCAGCAGUGGGGAAUAUUGGGCAAUGGGGGAAACCCUGACCCAGCAACGCCGCGUGAGGGAAGAAGGCUUUCGGGUUGUAAACCUCUGUCCCAUGGGAAGAAAAAAAUGACGGUCCCAUGGGAGGAAGCCCCGGCUAACUACGUGCCAGCAGCCGCGGUAAGACGUAGGGGGCAAGCGUUGUCCGGAAUUACUGG
Molecule: ribosomal RNA, 540 nt
Filed under: uncultured bacterium
Lineage: Bacteria
Description: bacterial SSU rRNA
Rfam family: Bacterial small subunit ribosomal RNA
Source: RNAcentral